CUUUUACAAUGAAGAGUUUGAUCCUGGCUCAGGAUGAACGCUAGCUAUAGGCUUAACACAUGCAAGUCGAGGGGCAGCAUCAUCAAAGCUUGCUUUGAUGGAUGGCGACCGGCGCACGGGUGAGUAACACGUAUCCAACCUGCCGACAACACUGGGAUAGCCUUUCGAAAGAAAGAUUAAUACCGGAUGGCAUAGUUUUCCCGCAUGGGAUAAUUAUUAAAGAAUUUCGGUUGUCGAUGGGGAUGCGUUCCAUUAGGCAGUUGGCGGGGUAACGGCCCACCAAACCAACGAUGGAUAGGGGUUCUGAGAGGAAGGUCCCCCACAUUGGAACUGAGACACGGUCCAAACUCCUACGGGAGGCAGCAGUGAGGAAUAUUGGUCAAUGGACGAGAGUCUGAACCAGCCAAGUAGCGUGAAGGAUGACUGCCCUAUGGGUUGUAAACUUCUUUUAUACGGGAAUAAAGUUAGCCACGUGUGGCUUUUUGUAUGUACCGUAUGAAUAAGGAUCGGCUAACUCCGUGCCAGCAGCCGCGGUAAUACGGAGGAUCCGAGCGUUAUCCGGAUUUAUUGGGUUUAAAGGGAGCGUAGGCGGGUUGUUAAGUCAGUUGUGAAAGUUUGCGGCUCAACCGUAAAAUUGCAGUUGAUACUGGCGACCUUGAGUGCAACAGAGGUAGGCGGAAUUCGUGGUGUAGCGGUGAAAUGCUUAGAUAUCACGAAGAACUCCGAUUGCGAAGGCAGCUUACUGGAUUGUAACUGACGCUGAUGCUCGAAAGUGUGGGUAUCAAACAGGAUUAGAUACCCUGGUAGUCCACACAGUAAACGAUGAAUACUCGCUGUUGGCGAUAUACAGUCAGCGGCCAAGCGAAAGCAUUAAGUAUUCCACCUGGGGAGUACGCCGGCAACGGUGAAACUCAAAGGAAUUGACGGGGGCCCGCACAAGCGGAGGAACAUGUGGUUUAAUUCGAUGAUACGCGAGGAACCUUACCCGGGCUUAAAUUGCAACUGACGGAACCGGAAACGGUUCUUUCUUCGGACAGUUGUGAAGGUGCUGCAUGGUUGUCGUCAGCUCGUGCCGUGAGGUGUCGGCUUAAGUGCCAUAACGAGCGCAACCCUUAUCGAUAGUUACUAGCAGGUUAUGCUGAGGACUCUAUUGAGACUGCCGUCGUAAGAUGUGAGGAAGGUGGGGAUGACGUCAAAUCAGCACGGCCCUUACGUCCGGGGCUACACACGUGUUACAAUGGGGGGUACAGAAGGCAGCUACACGGCGACGUGGUGCUAAUCCCGAAAGCCUCUCUCAGUUCGGAUUGGAGUCUGCAACCCGACUCCAUGAAGCUGGAUUCGCUAGUAAUCGCGCAUCAGCCACGGCGCGGUGAAUACGUUCCCGGGCCUUGUACACACCGCCCGUCAAGCCAUGAAAGCCGGGGGUACCUGAAGUACGUAACCGCGAGGAGCGUCCUAGGGUAAAACUGGUGAUUGGGGCUAAGUCGUAACAAGGUAGCCGUACCGGAAGGUGCGGCUGGAACACCUCCUUUCU
RNAcentral lists this ribosomal RNA (1534 nucleotides) under Bacteroides stercoris. RNAcentral's name for it is "bacterial SSU rRNA". It matches the Rfam family "Bacterial small subunit ribosomal RNA". The record is from RNAcentral. Lineage: Bacteria; Pseudomonadati; Bacteroidota; Bacteroidia; Bacteroidales; Bacteroidaceae.